This 942-nucleotide ribosomal RNA is filed under the name Triticum aestivum (bread wheat). RNAcentral's name for it is "partial small subunit ribosomal RNA". The record is from RNAcentral. Lineage: Eukaryota; Viridiplantae; Streptophyta; Magnoliopsida; Poales; Poaceae.
AUGGAGCCCAUGAGCGUGGACAGCAGCGGCUGCGGCGGCCUGGACGCGCAGAUCGAGCAGCUCUUGCAGUGCCGCCCGCUUGCCGAGCAAGAGGUUAAAGCACUAUGCGAGAAGGCUAAGGAGAUAUUGAUGGAGGAAAGCAAUGUGCAGCCAGUCAAAAGCCCAGUGACAAUCUGCGGUGAUAUUCACGGACAAUUCCAUGAUCUUGUUGAGCUUUUCCGGAUUGGCGGGAAGUGCCCAGAUACUAAUUAUUUGUUUAUGGGGGAUUAUGUGGAUCGUGGAUACUACUCCGUUGAGACUGUUUCUCUCUUGGUAGCACUGAAGGUUCGCCACCCACAUCGGAUUACAAUCCUCCGCGGAAACCAUGAGAGUCGGCAGAUCACACAAGUAUAUGGAUUCUACGAUGAAUGCCUACGGAAGUACGGCAAUGCAAAUGUAUGGAAGAUAUUCACAGAUCUUUUUGAUUAUUUCCCAUUAACAGCCCUGGUGGAAUCUGAAAUUUUCUGCCUGCAUGGUGGUUUAUCUCCAUCGAUUGAGAAUCUUGAUAGUGUGCGUAGCUUGGAUCGUGUCCAAGAGGUUCCACAUGAGGGACCUAUGUGUGAUCUUUUAUGGUCUGAUCCGGACGAUCGAUGUGGUUGGGGCAUUUCUCCUCGUGGUGCUGGCUACACUUUUGGGCAGGACAUAUCUGAGCAGUUCAAUCACACCAACAAUCUCAAACUUGUAGCCCGGGCUCAUCAGUUAGUCAUGGAGGGAUAUAACUGGGCUCAUGAACAAAAAGUUGUUACCAUAUUCAGUGCUCCAAACUAUUGUUACCGAUGUGGCAACAUGGCGUCCAUUUUGGAAGUUGAUGACUGCAAUGCUCACACCUUUAUCCAGUUUGAGCCAGCCCCUCGGAGAGGUGAGCCAGACGUGACAAGGAGAACACCUGAUUAUUUCCUUUGA